Molecule: long non-coding RNA, 2213 nt
Organism: Manis pentadactyla (Chinese pangolin)
Lineage: Eukaryota; Metazoa; Chordata; Mammalia; Pholidota; Manidae
Exons: 3
Source: RefSeq, a predicted model, not a curated record
GCAUGGGGGACGCGCCGCUUCCUCCGCAGGUGCCGGGUCAGCGGUACUCAGAGACUAGCUUGCAUUCCCGGCUUCUGCGGCGCUAUUUCUGCGGCAGCCCCUGGGGGAGGCGUUGCUGCGCCCCGGGAUCGCCACCGAGUGUCGCUCCCUCGCCGAGAGCUGGUCGCCCCGGCACGUCAUCCUCACGGCCCACGUGCCAGCGCGGGCCCGACCCGCAGCGCAGGACACACCGGCAGCCGGGCCGGCCCGGGUCUGCGGCCCCCACAGCGCUCCGCCGCCUCCGGUUGGGUGCCGGGUGGGCCGGGGCGACGGCGUGAUGGAGACGGGCACCAUCCGACGGAGGGCUGAAACAUGACUCCGGCGUGACGGGGACGGCUGGCUGAGGGGCCGAGCACGGAGCCUGUGAACAGCCAGGCGGCCUUCUACAGCGCAGGGGCCUCCGCCCCAGGGCCGAGGGGCCGGCUGGCCGCCCGGAGCAGAGGCUGAAGUGAAGGACAGCAGCGGCAGAGCUGGCCGGACACCCAGGUCGCAGCUCGGGGCUGGUGGAGCUGCUGCCGAGGGCAGGCAGGAGCUCAGGGGGCUGCUGGGGGUCAGGGGAGGCGCCCUGAGCCAGGCAGGCCGCGCGGUGUGCUGGCUACGCUUCUUACCUGUCGAGGCACACGGCCCAUGCCACUCACAUCUCCACAGGCAGCCUCAGUGUCCACCUAGAGUGUGGUGCUCGCAGCACGGGGCCCUCCCAGGAACGGUGUGACCAGCACAGGUAGUAACAGGACCAGGGGUCCCCGGGAGAGGUGAGAGUGGCCUGUCCCCCUGGCCCACAGGUUCUGCUGGGAAUGCAGGACCUGCCUCUUUAUCCCAGCCACUCCUCAAGACGGUGUCUGCAGCCAGCAGCCUUGAAGGAUGAGGGGAGGUCGCCUCCAGUCGAGGGCAGGCCUGCCCACGCGCACUCUCAGAGUGCCAGUAGCAGCAGCCACAUGCUGUCACCAGGACAGGGACUGAACCGUGAGCAUCCGUCUCUCCGCACAAGGACACCACAGGAACCAGGAGCCUGUGGCCACUUUGCAGCACAGGGGCUCCAGGCACAGGUGCCAGGGAACCCAGAGGCCCCUCCUGGACCACAGGCACGGAUCAUGCAUGCAGCAGGCCUCCCUCAGCUAAGCUGGGUGGAAAGACAGCGGCCUGGAGCUCUGACCUCCCCGGGCUGAGUCCUCCUCCUGCACGAUGCACACCCGUCCCGGGGGUCAGGAUCCACAUCCCUGCUCUGACGGUCGAGGGGACCACAGCUUCUCACUCAGGGGGACAAGCUGCAGGCUGAGGUGGGCAGAGCAAGGGACAGACAGCGCAUGAUGAAUCGAGCCUAGGCCACGCUGCUCCCGGACGUGCGCCACACAUGGGCUGUCUCCCAACUCUGCGGUCAGAGGAGCAGCCAUCCUCAGCACAAGGCCACCCCGGGUUCGGGCACCACUGCCUCGCACCAAGGAGAAGCAGGAGAGCUGGCCACGUCCGGGCAGCCCAGGGGAGCCCAUGUGCUGACCGAGUGGGCCCAGGGCAUGGGCAUCAGGGAGGAGAGCGAGUGUCCGGGCCCGAGACCACCACCAUCCUUGACAACCUGUGACAAUUCUGGAGUCAGUGGCCCUGGAGCUGGCAAGCUGGAGAGCAGAUCGAGCCCCAUGGCUGGCUGCAGGGCACCCAAGCUGCCGUGGACUCAGCUGAUCCACUGUUCAGGUGCUCGUCAUGAACCCAUGUGUCACCUUUACCGGCCCCUCUGGGACUCUGGGGCUGCUUGUGCGGAAUGCCUGCCCCUGCCCAGAGCUCAGGGUCCUAUGCAUUUGCGGGGAGAGGCGCCCAGCCCCGUGCAUGCAGAGGGGCCAGUCUGCUCAGCCUCCUGGACCCACUCCCCCUCCCCAGCCCGGGCAAACAGGCUGCUCUGGAGAUAAGCCCCAGGGAGAGGCCAGCAUGCAGCAGGGUGCAGCCAGCUGUUCCCUAAAAGGCCGGUGGGAGAGCUUGGCUUUGCACCCACACAGCCUAUGGGCCAACUGCUCGGCUCUCACGGAGUGAAGCAGCGGCAGACAGCUGGGCCGGCAGGGCGCUGUGCUCCAGAACACUUGGCUCACGGCCCUGAAGUGUGAAGGCAAGGAAGUAUGACAUCAGGAAAUGGCUCUCUUGAUUUCCUUCAACCAUUUCAGAAUGUAAACUGUGUAUCUUGGGGGCCA